Molecule: ribosomal RNA, 324 nt
Filed under: uncultured bacterium
Lineage: Bacteria
Description: bacterial SSU rRNA
Rfam family: Bacterial small subunit ribosomal RNA
Source: RNAcentral
AGCAACGCCGCGUGAGUGAAGAAGGUUUUCGGAUCGUAAAGCUCUGUUGUAAGAGAAGAACGUGUGUGAGAGUGGAAAGUUCACACAGUGACGGUAACUUACCAAAAAGGGACGGCUAACUACGUGCCAGCAGCCGCGGUAAUACGUAGGUCCCGAGCGUUGUCCGGAUUUAUUGGGCGUAAAGCGAGCGCAGGCGGUUUAAUAAUUCUGAAGUUAAAGGCUGUGGCUUAACCAUUGUUCGCUUUGGAAACUGUUAAACUUGAGUGCAGAAGGGGAGAGUGGAAUUCCAUGUGUAGCGGUGAAAUGCGUAGAUAUAUGGAGGAA